UACGUAGGGUGCGAGCGUUGCCCGGAUUUAUUGGGCGUAAAGGGCGCGUAGGCGGUGAGAUGCGUCCGUUGUGAAAUCGCCCGGCUCAACUGGGCGGGGUCAGCGGAUACGGUCUCACUUGAGCAAGCUAGGGGGCAAUGGAAUUCCCGGUGUAGUGGUGGAAUGCGUAGAUAUCGGGAGGAACACCAGUGGCGAAAGCGGACCGCUGGCCCUCGUCUGACGCUGAGGCGCGAAAGCCAGGGGAGCGAACGGG
RNAcentral lists this ribosomal RNA (253 nucleotides) under uncultured bacterium. Its description in RNAcentral is "partial 16S ribosomal RNA". It matches the Rfam family "Bacterial small subunit ribosomal RNA", at positions 524 to 776 of the family's 1533-position model. The record is from RNAcentral.